AAAGGUAUAACACAAAAAAGAUAUCUAUUAGAAGUAAUCCAAAAAUAGAAACUGAGAGACAACAAAGGUAUAACACAAAAAAGAUAUCUAUUAGAAGUAAUCCAAAAAUAGAAACUCAAAAGAGAGACAUAACAAAAGUAUAACACAAAAAAGAUAUCUAUAAGUAGUAAUCCAAAAAUGGAAACAUACAAAUGCUGAGAUAUUCUCGAUUGUGCCUCUGUG
This 222-nucleotide long non-coding RNA is filed under the name Lathyrus oleraceus (garden pea). RNAcentral's name for it is "Pisum sativum (pea) long non-coding RNA (PSAT_LNC002291)". Lineage: Eukaryota; Viridiplantae; Streptophyta; Magnoliopsida; Fabales; Fabaceae. The record is from RNAcentral.